This 330-nucleotide ribosomal RNA is filed under the name uncultured bacterium. Its description in RNAcentral is "bacterial SSU rRNA". It matches the Rfam family "Bacterial small subunit ribosomal RNA", at positions 568 to 898 of the family's 1533-position model. The record is from RNAcentral.
CGCGUAGGCUGUGCUGUAAGUCAGGCGUGAAAGGCCCGGGCUCAACCUGGGAACUGUGCAUGAUACUGCGGCGCUUGAAGGCGGGAGAGGAUGGCGGAAUUCCCAGUGUAGAGGUGAAAUUCGUAGAUAUUGGGAAGAACACCGGUGGCGAAGGCGGCCAUCUGGCCCGCAAUUGACGCUGAGGCGCGAAAGCGUGGGGAGCAAACAGGAUUAGAUACCCUGGUAGUCCACGCUGUAAACGAUGAGUGCUAGACGUCGGGGAGCUUGCUCUUCGGUGUCGCCGCUAACGCAUUAAGCACUCCGCCUGGGGAGUACGGUCGCAAGAUUAAA